This 362-nucleotide ribosomal RNA is filed under the name uncultured bacterium. RNAcentral's name for it is "partial 16S ribosomal RNA". It matches the Rfam family "Bacterial small subunit ribosomal RNA", at positions 338 to 693 of the family's 1533-position model. The record is from RNAcentral.
CCUACGGGGGGCUGCAGUAGGGAAUUUUCGUCAAUGGGCGCAAGCCUGAACGAGCAAUGCCGCGUGAACGAGGAAGGUCUUCGGAUCGUAAAGUUCUGUUGAAGGGGAAAAAGAGCGGAGAGAGGAAAUGCUUUCUGAUUGAUAUUACCCUUCGAGGAAGUCACGGCUAACUACGUGCCAGCAGCCGCGGUAAUCCGUAGGUGGCGAGCUGUAUCCGGACUGGUUGGGCGUAAAGGGUGCGUAGGCGGCCUGCUAAGUCUGGAGUGAAAGGUACCGGGUCAACCGGUACAGGCUCGGGGAACUGGCGGGCUAGAGGGCAGGGGAGGGCAGUGGAACUCCAUGUGUAGCGGGAAAAUGCGUAG